CUUGCCUACAACCUUACUUGGUUGCCGGCUGAGAGUUUUCGUGUGGCUGUUGCUUCAUUUGCUGUCAUCAUUGUCAUUGCCGGCCUUAUCGUUCCCCUGCCAGCCACUGUGAGUUGGAUUGCUAAUAUUUUCCACUGUUAUCGUGCUAUUCUGUGUCACCGAGAGUCUGUCACUGUGUUGCUGUCAUUGCUGUCACCUUCUUCCUUUCCUUUAUCUUCGUUCAUCUGUCACGGUGGAAGAGGAAGAUACAGUUCUAUCGUUCUUCUUGGUUACAGGGACGUUAGAGAUCUCGGUGCAUAGUAGCUAUCAUUACACUUUGAUAGAGGAGGACUGAGUUCAAAACGCUAGAUGCUAACGGCAGUUUCGUUAGCUCUUGACUCGCCAUGGUACACCCAACUAGCAAGAUGCUUAUUGAAGGUGCCAACCCCGUGUGAUGGCCAACGCACGUGGAAUGGAGGGAUGAUUAUUUAUGAGCAUCAUACUCACACUUGUUUUCAUAGGCUUCAAGCCUGCGCUUGUUUUGUGGCCUUUGGCCACACUUGAUUAGUUACUUGCUCUCGUGGACUGUGUGUCCACACUUAUUAGUCGUUUUGAUGAAGCCCUCCUAAACUUUCCAAUUUAAACUUAUUAUUUUUUGGAAUUUUUUUUACUUUAAAAGUGUGUUUAUUGUAAGUUUUUA
Prosopis cineraria is the source of this 679-nucleotide long non-coding RNA. RefSeq lists it as uncharacterized. The record is from RefSeq and is a predicted model, not a curated record. Lineage: Eukaryota; Viridiplantae; Streptophyta; Magnoliopsida; Fabales; Fabaceae. The transcript has 3 exons.